GUAGGGAAUAUUGCGCAAUGGACGAAAGUCUGACGCAGCGACGCCGCGUGAGUGAUGAAGGCCUUAGGGUCGUAAAGCUCUGUUGAAUGGGAAGAAAAAAAUGACGGUACCAUUCGAGGAAGGACCGGCUAACUUCGUGCCAGCAGCCGCGGUAAUACGAGGGGUCCUAGCGUUGUUCGGAAUCAUUGGGCGUAAAGGGUGUGUAGGUGGCCAUGUAAGUCAGGUGUGAAAGCCCCGGGCUCAACCCGGGAAGUGCACUUGAUACUGCGUGGCUUGAGUACCGAAGAGGGUAGUGGAAUUCCAGGUGUAGUGGUGAAAUACGUAGAUAUCUGGAGGAACACCGGUGGCGAAGGCGGCUACCUGGUCGAGUACUGACACUGAGACACGAAAGCGUGGGGAUCAAACAGGAUUAGAAACCCGUGUAGUCC
RNAcentral lists this ribosomal RNA (428 nucleotides) under uncultured bacterium. RNAcentral's name for it is "partial 16S ribosomal RNA". It matches the Rfam family "Bacterial small subunit ribosomal RNA", at positions 354 to 796 of the family's 1533-position model. The record is from RNAcentral.